RNAcentral lists this long non-coding RNA (237 nucleotides) under Nicotiana benthamiana. RNAcentral describes it as "long non-coding RNA (NBEN_LNC001226)". The record is from RNAcentral. Lineage: Eukaryota; Viridiplantae; Streptophyta; Magnoliopsida; Solanales; Solanaceae.
AUCUCUUAUAUUCUCAUCAUUAACUACCUCAUCAAUAUUAUUUCCUUUUAUCUUGUCACCAGGUUUUCCCUUCUUCUUGAUCUUACAAAUUACGAAACCUUUGUUCUUAAUCUCCCUAGCAGGCAGAUAACGAUCAAACAAAGAGUACUCAGUCAUCAACCAUUCGCCGUUCACGUUGUUUGACGAUUUGUUAGCGGGGAUGUACUUCAAACUUUUCACGUAUCCCAUGAGUCUUCC